Schistosoma mansoni is the source of this 45-nucleotide non-coding RNA. The record is from Rfam. Lineage: Eukaryota; Metazoa; Platyhelminthes; Trematoda; Strigeidida; Schistosomatidae.
AUCCAACUGACGAGUCCCAAAUCGAACGAAACGCGCUUCGUGGAU